Molecule: long non-coding RNA, 233 nt
Organism: Bufo bufo (common toad)
Lineage: Eukaryota; Metazoa; Chordata; Amphibia; Anura; Bufonidae
Exons: 3
Source: RefSeq, a predicted model, not a curated record
GGCAGCUUCUUCCUUCUAUGUACCACUGAUAGCUGUAAAGAGAUCUUCUCUAUAACAGGCCUGGUGGGUGAGUGGACGGGAUUCUUCGGCUUGACAGUUUACCCUGUCAUGAAUUAUACAGAUUUCCAGUGUUUGUCAUUAGAGUUGUCCCGAGAAGGCAUCUCCAUCGUUCUGAGGAAAAAGACCCAGGACCCUGAAAACCCCCAAUAAAAUCUAAGGUUAAGAACCAGGGG